Molecule: ribosomal RNA, 735 nt
Filed under: uncultured bacterium
Lineage: Bacteria
Description: bacterial SSU rRNA
Rfam family: Bacterial small subunit ribosomal RNA
Source: RNAcentral
AGAGUUUGAUCAUGGCUCAGGACGAACGCUGGCGGCGUGCUUAACACAUGUAAGUCGAGCGGUAAGGCCCUUCGGGGUACACGAGCGGCGAACGGGUGAGUAACACGUGAGCAACCUGCCCCUGACUCCGGGAUAAGCGGUGGAAACGCCGUCUAAUACCGGAUACGACCCUCCUCCGCAUGGUGGGGGGUGGAAAGUUUUUUCGGUCGGGGAUGGGCUCGCGGCCUAUCAGCUUGUUGGUGGGGUAACGGCCUACCAAGGCGAUUACGGGUAGCCGGCCUGAGAGGGCGACCGGCCACACUGGGACUGAGACACGGCCCAGACUCCUGCGGGAGGCAGCAGUGGGGAAUAUUGCGCAAUGGGCGAAAGCCUGACGCAGCGACGCCGCGUGGGGGAUGACGGCCUUCGGGUUGUAAACCUCUUUUACCACUCACGCAGGCCCCGCGUUCUCGCGGGGUUGACGGUAGGUGGGGAAUAAGGACCGGCUAACUACGUGCCAGCAGCCGCGGUAAUACGUAGGGUCCGAGCGUUGUCCGGAAUUAUUGGGCGUAAAGAGCUCGUAGGCGGCGUGUCGCGUCUGCUGUGAAAGACCGGGGCUUAACCCCGGUUCUGCAGUGGAUACGGGCAUGCUAGAGGUAGGUAGGGGAGACUGGAAUUCCUGGUGUAGCGGUGAAAUGCGCAGAUAUCAGGAGGAACACCGGUGGCGAAGGCGGGUCUCUGGGCCUUACCUGACGC